RNAcentral lists this ribosomal RNA (943 nucleotides) under uncultured bacterium. RNAcentral describes it as "bacterial SSU rRNA". It matches the Rfam family "Bacterial small subunit ribosomal RNA", at positions 28 to 982 of the family's 1533-position model. The record is from RNAcentral.
GAUGAACGCUGGCGGCGUGCCUAACACAUGCAAUUCGAGCGAUUCUCUUCGGAGAAGAGCGGCGGACGGGUGAGUAACGCGUGGGUAACCUGCCCUGUACACACGGAUAACAUACCGAAAGGUAUGCUAAUACGGGAUAAAAUGUUUUGAUCGCAUGGUCGAAAUAUCAAAGCUCCGGCGGUACAGGAUGGACCCGUGUCUGAUUAGCUAGUUGGUGAGGUAAUGGCUCACCAAGGCGACGAUCAGUAGCCGACCUGAGAGGGUGAUCGGCCACAUUGGAACUGAGACACGGUCCAAACUCCUACGGGAGGCAGCAGUGGGGAAUAUUGCACAAUGGGCGAAAGCCUGAUGCAGCAACGCCGCGUGAGCGAUGAAGGCCUUCGGGUCGUAAAGCUCUGUCCUCAAGGAAGAUAAUGACGGUACUUGAGGAGGAAGCCCCGGCUAACUACGUGCCAGCAGCCGCGGUAAUACGUAGGGGGCUAGCGUUAUCCGGAAUUACUGGGCGUAAAGGGUGCGUAGGUGGUUUCUUAAGUCAGAGGUGAAAGGCUACGGCUCAACCGUAGUAAGCCUUUGAAACUGAGAAACUUGAGUGCAGGAGAGGAGAGUAGAAUUCCUAGUGUAGCGGUGAAAAUGCGUAGAUAUUAGGAGGAAUACCAGUUGCGAAGGCGGCUCUCUGGACUGUAACUGACACUGAGGCACGAAAGCGUGGGGAGCAAACAGGAUUAGAUACCCUGGUAGUCCACGCCGUAAACGAUGAGUACUAGCUGUCGGGAGGUUACCCCCUUCGGUGGCGCAGCUAACGCAUUAAGUACUCCGCCUAGGAAAAGUACGCUCCGCAAGAGUUGUACUUCAAAGGAAUUGACGGGGACCUGCAACAAAGGUAGCGGGAUGCAAUGGUUGUUUUAAUUUCGGAGCAACCGUCUGAGAAACCUUACCUAAGCUU